RNAcentral lists this ribosomal RNA (492 nucleotides) under uncultured bacterium. Its description in RNAcentral is "partial 16S ribosomal RNA". It matches the Rfam family "Bacterial small subunit ribosomal RNA", at positions 29 to 507 of the family's 1533-position model. The record is from RNAcentral.
AGUGAACGCUGGCGGUAGGCCUAACACAUGCAAGUCGAACGGCAGCACAGUAAGAGCUUGCUCUUACGGGUGGCGAGUGGCGGACGGGUGAGGAAUACAUCGGAAUCUACUUUUUCGUGGGGGAUAACGUAGGGAAACUUACGCUAAUACCGCAUACGACCUACGGGUGAAAGCAGGGGAUCUUCGGACCUUGCGCGAUUGAAUGAGCCGAUGUCGGAUUAGCUAGUUGGCGGGGUAAAGGCCCACCAAGGCGACGAUCCGUAGCUGGUCUGAGAGGAUGAUCAGCCAGACUGGAAGUGAGACACGGUCCAGACUCCUACGGGAGGCAGCAGUGGGGAAUAUUAGACGAUGGGCGCAAGCCUAAUCCAGCCAUACCGCGUGAGUGAAGAAGGCCUUCGGGUUGUAAAGCCCUUUUGUUGGGAAAGAAAAGCAGCAGGUUAAUACCCCGCUGUUCUGACGGUACCCAAAGAAUAAGCACCGGCUAACUUCGUG